This 655-nucleotide long non-coding RNA is filed under the name Heterocephalus glaber (naked mole-rat). Its description in RNAcentral is "lncRNA (ENSHGLG00100042589.1)". Lineage: Eukaryota; Metazoa; Chordata; Mammalia; Rodentia; Bathyergidae. The record is from RNAcentral.
CUGAAUCUGUGGCCACAUGAAGCCAGCUGGAGGACUCCCCAAGGCCCCUCUCCAGGAUGUGUGGCAGGUCCUCCUGAACCAACACUGUGUCUUCUGGUGGCCACAUUGAGGCCAGGCCACAUCAGCCAGUGCCCGUCAUUUAAUCCUCCCAGCGAGCUCAAAUGGGGCUCACAACCCCAUGUUACAGUGGAGAAAACUGAAGCUCAGAGCCACAAAAGUCACCCACGCUUUCUCAGGUGAGCCAUCCAAGAGGGACAGAGAGUGGGGACAUGACAUCAUUCCCUACCAUCCUUCCAGCAGGGACCCGUGGUGUCUGAGCUGGUGUGGGUUCAUUUUUGAUCAUGUGACACACAACAGUUGUCAUGCUGCCCCUUCUAUGGACCAAGAACCUGUGGCUCAGAGAGGUAUUGUAAAUGAUCAAGACACAGCCUCGAUUGCUGAAGGCGCAAAGUCAUGGCCCCUCCAAGGUCAUUCAAGUUUCUACAACUGCAGCAACCCCUCUGCAUGGUGGGCCAGAGCCAGGUGCCAAGGACAAUGCCAGAGAAAGGAAGACAUGACACAGUCCUUACCCUCCAGGUCCUUGGAGGUGGGAGGCCCAACUCGGACAUUCACUUUUUUUCAGCCCAGCUACAGAUUUAAGAUGCUAGAGACAGAG